RNAcentral lists this ribosomal RNA (253 nucleotides) under uncultured bacterium. Its description in RNAcentral is "partial 16S ribosomal RNA". It matches the Rfam family "Bacterial small subunit ribosomal RNA", at positions 524 to 776 of the family's 1533-position model. The record is from RNAcentral.
UACGUAGGUGGCAAGCGUUGUCCGGAUUUAUUGGGUUUAAAGGGUGCGUAGGCGGCUUUGUAAGUCAGGGGUGAAAUACGGUAGCUUAACUAUCGAGGUGCCAUUGAUACUGCAGAGCUUGAGUACAGAUGAGGUAGGCGGAAUUGACGGUGUAGCGGUGAAAUGCUUAGAUAUCGUCAAGAACACCUAUAGCGAAGGCAGCUUACUAGGCUGUAACUGACGCUGAGGCACGAAAGUGUGGGGAUCAAACAGG